This 25688-nucleotide long non-coding RNA is filed under the name Brachypodium distachyon (stiff brome). RNAcentral describes it as "long non-coding RNA (BDIS_LNC001806)". The stretch from base 18454 to 18589 matches the Rfam family "MIR1120/MIR1122 microRNA precursor family". Lineage: Eukaryota; Viridiplantae; Streptophyta; Magnoliopsida; Poales; Poaceae. The record is from RNAcentral.
GAGGGAGAGAGAAACGUUCAAACUGAAAGGAAAAAAUGGUGUAACUAUUUUCAAACAAAGGUAUUAAAUGUCGAUGGACAUGUCAGAGACAUCGGAUCAAGAUCCGAGGGUCAUCCACACUUUCCCCUCCGUAACGUGUUAUCGCUGGAUUAAAAUCUGACGACCAACAGGGGCGGAGUUACAGCGUAGACAUUGGGUUCAGAUGAGGAAUUGGAUCCGAGCCUACACAUAUGAACCCCAUGAUUAUAGUGUAAUGAACCCAGUGGUUUCCUUUUCUGGCUCCACCCGUGACGACCAAUCACGUCGACUUGUCUCUAACUAAAAAAAUACAGACGACUUCUUAAUAGCAAAACAUGAAAAAGGAAUAUAAUGUCUCUGUAAAAUAUAGAAAGACGUGGUUCUCCGUUAAGAUGUUGUGGUUAUUUCUCUUCUGUCAGUUGACCAUUUUUGUCCCCGUCUGAUCCAGCGCCGCUCCGUUACCGUACCAUGUUUUUUCACGUCAUUAUCCGUCCGUAUUCCUUAUUUGUUUUUGCAUUCAUAUCAUGUCCGUGCCGCUUCCAAACCAAUGGAAAUUGUGAAAUAAAAUAUGGUACUAUAUAAAAUCAUUAUCCGGUCCCGUUUUACAUAUAUGCUAUAUUCCUCAAGUAUGUACAUCGAUCGCGGUCUUGUAUGAUUCAAAAACAAAAACGAAAUAUCAGUAGAGAGCAAGCGUACAUGCACACGCAGGAUAUGCUUUCGUUGGUUAAUUCGGUGUACGUACGGACCACCGCGAUGUCUCUGCGCCCGUCGACGUCACACACGCUUACGUGAGUGCGUGCGUACAGUCGGUGAUUAAUCGAUCCGGAAACGUGCCAAUAUAGUCUGCAGCCGCGCCGGCUUUUUAUACUCCCUGCAAUCAAUGCACCCGGCCCUCUCGUUUCGGCCGAAAACUGCAUACCACGCUCGAUCGAAUCAUCCAAGUAUACAGAUACACACAUGCUUCUCGAUGACUCGAUCGAUGGACUUACGGUAUAAUCGUACAGUAGUUGCUUUCGCUUCCAGACGUAGGUACACGGAACGACGAACCGGGAAAAACGGCCCUCCUGCUCCUGGCUUGGAAUCAUUCCACCUCUGGUGGAAAUCCUGGACCACCCGUACGUCCAUAUGCUCCCUUGCGAGUUGCAGACACGUUAUACGUACUCAUGUAAUCGCUCCGUUUCAUAAAAAUUGACACGAUUUUAAAUCAGAACUAAGUUAAAAUCAUGUCAAUCUUCGUGAAACGGAGGAAGUACCUGACAGGAAUGCAUGCAGGGAUCAGGCACUCCAGUUUGGAGUUGGAACGGGGCACACAUGUGGAAAAAGUUUCGAACUAACAAGGUGGCGACUGCGACCAAAGCCAGAACCAUUUUUUGUCGAGCACGAUCGAUCGACCUGCAGCGCCAGAGCCACUAGAGGGCCCAGAUCAGCUUGCCCCGCCCCAAUUCCAUGCGUUCCGGUUGUUUCCUUUCGAGCCCCCUGCCCCAGUUGCCUGCCCUUUUAUCUCUCAGCGAUCAGUUACGUUCAUGCAUUCUUGGCCACACGUACCUACACUACAAUCGGUACUACUACGUACAUGCGAGAUAGCUAUGUCCCGAUCGAGCCUGCAAUUAACGGCAACUCGACCGAUCAAUCUGCAAGUAGAGACAGUAAUCUCGAAUUUGGUUCAAAAGCAGGCAGCGAAUCCUGGAACGACCAAGUUACACGGUACUCCUAUGUAAGCUAGUACUAGUACAACUAGUAGCAUGCCACCGGUGGAUCACUCACCUGGGGAUACAAAACCGUUCUCCUUCGAUUAGAGUCGUCUGCAUUAUUGACAGUUUCGAUGGACCAGGCAGACAGAAGCAAAGCCUGGAUGCGCGCGGGAUCCACUUGUCCAGCAAAAGGGCACGAAUCGGGGAGGUCACAGGACUUAAACAUACGAUAGGCCACGCGAGCCAAAGGCGUGCCGUACUGUGCUGCCCCUGCCUGGCCUGUCGUGUGAUGUGACAGAAAAAAAUUAAAGGGAGCGGCGAACCUGCGUUUCAUGAUCAUUGAUAGAUGGAUGGGUGGAUCGAGCUAGUAUUAAGCUGGUUGUGGUGUGUGUGUGUGGAGGGGGGUCUGUCUUUGAAAAGUCGACGCUGCAUGCGGACGUUCAGUUUCAAGUGGCGUGCAAGAUGUUCCUAGUGAAAAUGUGAAAUCAUGGGGGAAAUAGGCGAAGUUUGCAGGGUUGAACGGCACACCGCGUUUGGCUGACGGCUCUAUGCGCGGAUAUGAUGUUUUCUUUUUAACGAAUAUUCUGAUAUUUUUCAAUACCAAAACCGUAUUCGGAGUUAGCUGGCGUCUGAAUUUUAAACAGAAGACUUAAAUCUCCGGACUCUUGAAUUAAGAUCUAAGUGUCAUCCCCACUCUCUCUUCUCCCGCAUGCUGUUGUUGGAUUAAGAUCCAAUGUUCAAACACGUCAGCUGAUCGCUAACUAAGAAACAAGCGACUUCUUAAUAGCAAACCGUUUUCUGAAUCCCCACAUUCGAUAAUAAAAUUCCACCGGGAACCUACCAUGCUGUAUGCAGAUAUCGACCUUCUUUUUUUGGAUUGUGAUAAGUGUAUUUUCAUAGUUUAAAUAUUGUUCACGGUGCAAAUUCCGCCCUUGCGUGGCGGGUUAUUGGACAUUCAACUGUGGAUACCGAGCUUAGCAAAUUUUUGUCGAACUCUUUUUGGAAUGGAAUGGAUUAAUACAAUUUGACUAAGAGUCAUCAUUUUUAUGGUUUAGGGUGGUGGCUGCACCCCAAAACCUACCAAGGAUCGAACCCCAGGUUUGACCCUCGGCGUGUCUCAUUUGAGCCGAAUUUCUUUUGGCAGUAGGAGAUGCAAUCCGUUCACGCUUCACACUGAAGCGUCAGUGACUUCGUCGAUCUCAAAACGUUUUCACGAUUCUGGUCAUCCGUGUGAGUGUGUGCGCACGGCGGUGUACGUCGUGUGUGAUCAUUGUUCCUAAAAUAAAGUACUUCCUUCGUCUAACAAAGGAUGUCUGAAUUUUGAUUAAAUUUGAAUGCAUCUAUACAUCAAGUCAUGUCUACAUACAUCAACAUUUUGACAAACUUGAGACAUCUUUUGCUGGACGGUGAAAGUAUAGGAGCCCGGGAAUAGCCGCAUCUUAUUACAAGCAAUUAAUAUUUCGACCCUGAACCAGUUUGAGCUUAACCCCAGUGGAUCGGAAUCGGGUUCACUGAGCGAGCGAGCGCUCCAUUACAGAUUUUUACAGGCACUGAGGCACCGUCUCUUCCUGCUGCCCCCCUCCGGGGAGCUAGCUGCGUGCUAUGGACCGCCCAUUCGUGGAACGGGCUGUACCCACCAAUACCUACGUACCUGCGCGCCUGCCAUGCCACCCCUCUGCCACGGGGGGCUGUCGGCUCCAAAGAAUCAUGCAAUAAUUACCAGCUUCUUCUAUCGGCGGCAUACAGAGGAGAGGAUUGAGCUUUUGAGCAUCUCGUGUGCAGAGAGAAUCUCUCUGCCCGUUCGCGCCAGGUGGAUGUAUUUACUUGCGCCAGGAGCAAACGAGCAACUCGUGACCGCCUACGCACGUUUCCCCGACUAGACAAGUCAAUUGGUGAAAAUUGGUGAAAUUGGCAGCUAGCUUAUUUAUCCCUUUAUCCAUUCGCACCCACCCCACCCCGGCCACCCUCCGCGCUGCGCAUGCAUGCAUGUCCUCGUGGGCUCUCGAGGACUUGAAGUACGUACGUCGCAUGCAUGCAGAUAAGACGGAGCUAGAGAGAAAGCCUCUUCUUUUCGCUCGUGGCCCGGCAUGUGCAUGCCAAUGGCAAUGCCAGCGUCCCAGUCAGCUACUCUCUCCGUUCCAAAUUCUUGCCUCAAAUUUAUCCAAAAAUAAAUAUAUUUAUUUUUUAAAAACGUUUAUAUACAUGUAAUAGUCCGACAAAAAUUAUGAAACGGAAGGAAUACUGACCAUAGCUAUGGUCAGUACAACUCCUAGUGACAAGUGCAAGCAGGGGAAGUUCAUACUCUAUGUGGGAGGUGCAAUGCAUCUCUCGCUCUAAAGACGUGGUACUCCUAGACUACAGGACUACCACGUACUGGAUUCAUCGAGAUGUGAUGGAACGGUGUACCAGGGUGCGUGGCAUGCAUGUAGACGCCGGGCCGAUCGAUGUAUGUCGAGAGCGGGAUAUGGACAACGAAAAAGGGUGUGGGCAGGGUAGGUGUUCGAUCAAAAUCCACGGACAGUUCCAAACUGAGGAGACCAUGGGGAAACUACUGGACAUCGGGGGUAUAGUGUUCACGUGACGUCAGAACUGGGGAGAGCUACACAACCUCAAGUCGUCGUCUUCUGGUAAGCAAGAGGACCCUUGUUUGGGAGCGCAAUGCAAGUGCAGAUGUUGUGCAGGCGCAGCAGAGACGUGACCCUUGCAGAAGAAAACGCGAAGAGCCGGGUAUAGUGGAUAUGUGGAUGCGUGAAUUAUCGUGGGCCGGGCCGCUUCAAAGCCUGGUAACGCGUGUCGUCGUGGCCUGGCCCAGAUUAUGCUGCUCAUCCGUCCAGCUCGCAAUACAUGAAGAGAAGUUCAAAAACCCGCUGUCCACUUUUGCAUUUAUCCAACGUUUCCUUGAUGAUUUGUCUCUCAUUCGUGAUGUUGUCCAUGCUGUGACACCGGAGCCUCCUCCUGGUGGUGGUCGCCUUGUCCCGCCCACCAACCGCUGGUCUCCUCCGUCGGCUGGUAUGUGUAAAAUUAAUGCGGAUGCUGGAGUUGCAAGGUCAGGUGCAGGUGGUUCUUGUGCUGCGGUCUGUCGCGAUGAAUGUGGAAGAUUCAUGAGAGCCUCUUCGAUUACAAUCGAGGGCAUGACCGACCCUACAAUACUUGAAGCAUUGGCAUGUAAUGAAGGCUUGUCUCUGGCCUUGGACCUUAACAUCUCAAAAGUUUGUGUUGUUUCGUACUGCUUAACGGUUAUCAAGAGUCUACAACAAGAUGAUCUUUGCUAUUAUAGUGCGAUCAUUAAGGAUAUUGUGGCAAGGAAGGAUCAGUUCCGUGAUGCUGUUUUCAGACGUGAGAAGAGAACUCUUUAUAGAGAUGCUCAUAAUCUAGUUAGAGCGGAGUUACCGCUUUCUGUUGGCCAUCAUAUUUGGCUUUUAAGUACCCCAUGCAUUACUUGUAUUCCUGUUCAAGUUGGUGUUGAAUAAAGCUGGCCUUUCCCCUAAAAAUAAAAUAUCCGUCCAGCAGAACUGAAUCCCCAAUAGCGCGGUUACAAGACAAGAAUGAUUAUGUAAUUAUGUUCCUUGUUAUCGUUUCACUUUGCACCACAGAAAGAGUGCUCUGUUUGGCUCCACCAAGGCAAAAGGAAAGAGAAACAGGAACCGAGGAGUGUCUCAUUGUCAAUUACUAAUUCAGCCAACGAACCCAUAAAACAUGUACCGACGCAAAUGCAAUUCAUCAGAAGUGUUCUUCAAGGAAGAACACAGACAGGGUAUCGGACUACCGGUGACUAUGUUUGGAUAUCUUACAUGCUCAGAAUGCUGCGGGCGAGUUAACUGGGAAAUAAUUGAAGAUGAAGAAAGGACACAGCAAGUUACAUAAGCGGCAACAGAUUUUGCUAGAGUGGCACAGCAGUGGCAGGUGCUGGAACAUGCACCUCAAAUACAAUCAGGAACUCGAACUGUUUAUAGCUUUGGACACUUUCUUCCAUCGCAAAACACUUCGAGUUUGUUCUUAUCAAGCAAAUGGUUUUCGAUUAGGCCCAGAUAUGACAUGGUGUUAUUACAUGCAUAACAGCGCUGGCUUGUCAAGCACCACUGGCAUACAGGCGAGUCCACUCCUUCGCUGCAAAGCAAAAAAAAAAUUGACAUGUUAGGUACAAAAAGCAAUGAAAAGUGGAGCAAAAUGACAUGCUAGUGUAUCAAAGUGCAGUGUUAGCGUGCGGCUUUGUUGGCUGAAUUUUCAGUUACCUGUCUCGACAGCUUCAGCUUCAUUGGAUUUCCAGUGUUUUGCCACGUUUUCUGAGAGCGGAUCAUCUGGAUUCGGAGCGCUCAGCAGUGCCUGAAUGCUGCAGACCAAACAUUGUAAAGAGGCAAAAAAAAAAGAGUAUACAAUAGUGGAUACAAGAAGCAACCCUCUGGAAAUACGAUAAUAUGAUACGAUCAUGAACUAUAAUGAAACUAUUUGGCCAAACAUGCCACGGAAGACAGAAGAGGUUGCUACCUCAAAAGAACAGUACGUAUCUGAAGAGCUGGGCUCCAUUUGUCCUUCAGGAUAUCGAGGCAUAUCCUACCAAGCUGCAGUGCAAGUCAAUCCGAAAUGAGAAACUGUUAUCGAAUGAAGUUCCAUUGAGAAUAUCAGUUCCCUACCUUGUCAAUGUUGGGAUGGUAUAUUUUUGUGAGAAACCUAACCUGCGUCAGGAAUAACCAAAGAGUGAUGUCCAUCAGAAAGAAUCACAACAGAGACAACAUACAGAAAAGUCAAAUAGAAUUGUGUAACUACUUUGGUUAGACGACAGUGUCACACUAAAACUAAAACAACCAUGUUGAUAUCCGUAAGAGUAAAACAGUCCAAGGACAGGAGUUGAGAACAAAAUAUUCAGCUACCUCUUAUUUAACAUGAUGGAAAUUACUACUCCCUCCGAUCCAUAUUAAUUGUCGAAAUAUUACAUGUAUCUAGACAAUUUUUUAGCCAUAGAUACAUCCAUAUUUGGGCAAAUUUGAGACAAUUAAUAUGGAUCGGAGGGAGUAUUAGUCUGAGUCUCAGAUGAUAUAUCACAAUGUCAGUACACUCCAAAUAUAGCAUUGCCAAUUAAGUAAAGUAAAGUACGGAACUGUGCAAAGGAGAUUAGUUAAGUGAACGGAGAGAGAAAUCUAGUAUGGAUACGAAAAGUAUUAACACAAUACUAAACAUGGGCAUUCAGUAUUCCUGAUCACAAAGAUGGUAUGCAAAUCUAUUAAUGGUACAUAUCAACAACAAACAUGGGCGCUGCCCAAAAUAAGAUGUCACAAUAAAUUGCUGGUUUCGGUUAACCACAGGCAUAAUUAAACGUCCAUCCCACUGUCGCACCAUAGCAUGAUAAAAUCAUUGCGAAGAUCGCUCUGCCAGAUUUUGAACUCAAAUUUCAGUUACAACUUACAACUAGGAAAUGAACCAAAUUCCACAUCAAGGAGCCUACCGGGACAAGAAAAUCCAUCACAAUAUGUGUCAAACUAAUAACUUCUUAAACAACCAUCCACUAAUACUUGAUCAAAAAAUUACUUUUGGAGCAGCCAUCGGAUAUUCCUCAGGUAAGAAAAGUUCAAGCUUGAAAACUCCACCUGUCCAACACAUAUUAGAAGAAAUAUCAGGAGGACCAGACACAGACAACUAAACAAAAUAAUGUUUCACCCAAUUAAAAAUGUCAUAAGCAAAUACAGUAUACAAAGAUAAGUAAACCAAGCUUAAAUAAAUAAGAUAACAUAGUGACAAAUGUACUGUCUAACAAUAGGAAAACAGGUCGUUCUGUGUACCAUUUAUCAUAUACAUGCACCGCAUUUCAUUACUCCAUGUUGCAUGGAAACAUGGUAGAUAGUUCCUUGUGCCGUAUAUCAGUAAACUUCAGUAAUCGCAAAGGUUAAGGAAACCCAAGACAUUCAAUUCCCAUAGGUUACUGAUAUAUGGUACAGUUGUAGAUCUAGCAUGUUAAGGAAACUACAAACUUGUGCCCCAUAUCAUAUCUAAACUAAUAGCAGGUAUAACUGUUGAAGUAUAAGGUGAAUUGCCCUCAUUUCUCCAUCAGCUUAGGCUUUUAGGGGCACUGGUUCGGCCCAUAUGCAACUCUCCAUGGUAUCCGAGCCAAGAGGUCCCGAGUUCAAGCUCAAUAUAAUAAAAAGGCACUUUUGAUCCAUGAGGGGGAGUGUUGAAGUACGAAAUGAAUUGCACUCGUUUCCCCAUCAGCUUAGACUUUUGGGUGAACUGGUUCGGCACAAGCAACUCUACAAAAGGCAGUCUUCCUAUGUGGAAUAACUUCUACAAAUAAAAAACCAGGUUCACUAGAGCUUAAGAUAACCGAUGAAAUGGACUUGUCAAGCUAUAUUUUGUGAUGGAUUCAACAAAGCAGAAUCUCAAAGUAUAGAAUCCAAAAGGCACAGAAGAGUACAAUUACCACUGGAACAGCUGGGUACAAGAUGGUCGGAUUGCUGGUCUAGCAAACAUAAGUUUAGAAGUGUAUAGUUCCGGCAGCACUAGAACAACACCUUUAUGUGACCAUCCUGAUAUGAUCAUCCAUCUGUGAUGUUUUACUACAUAUUUGCAGCAUUUUACAAACAAAAAGAGCCAUAGAUACGAAAAUGGGGACGCGGUGACCACAGUUACAGUCCUAAAUUGCCACAGAACUACGCAUUCGUGCUCCAAAGUAUUACAGGGUUAUCGGCAUACGAAACAUUCCAACAGAAAUAAAAUGAAAAGGAGGUUUUACCUUCAUAAGGAGACUGCGCCGGACCAAGGACCAUGACAUUGAAGUAGCGCAUGUUCUCCUCCGACGGCGACGCGCUAAUCCCCGGCGCUGCACGCACCCCCCCAACACACGAAUCAGCACAAACAUCCGAGGCUCGAACGCGGACAACACAACAGGAGCAUCGAAUUCUAGGAAAACGAACCUGGUUCGCUGAGCAGCCGCUGCGUCUCCUGCAGCAGAUCCAAAUUCCGAACAGAUUAGGCACCACGCACAAGGAAUAACCAGACGAUAAGGUUAUCAUAUCGCGUUAGAGUCUCAGAAACGGCUGUAGAUCUGGGGGGGUGAGGGGCGAUCGGAUCGCGGGGUAGGGCGCGCGCACCUUGAUGAUCCGGCGCGGGAGGUUGCUGUUGGCCAUGGAGUCCGGCCGGGGCUGGAGCGAGAGCCUAGAGGGGAGGGGGGGAGGGACCGCCUCGAGCUUCGCGCGGCGACGGAGGAGAAGACAGCGCGAGAGAGGUCAAAGGAGUCGUCGAUCUGUCGGGGAGGGCGAGCCGGGGGAGGAGGCGACGAACGAACAGAAAUGGGUCAGGGUCCGAUACUGUGUACCACGUAUUUAUAAACUCCACGCUACAGCCGCUGCUGCUGAUAUUUUCCUUUUCCUCUUGAGCUGGUGUUUUCGUUUUAUACUCUACCGACCUGUUUGUUUGUCCUUCUAUUUCAGUUUUUUUGCAUCUGGCAAUCUUAAAAGCAUCUUUUCUGUUUACACGUGAAGCUGAGAGGCACCUCCGAACAUGCUAAACACUGUUUACACAUGAAGCUGAGAAGCACCUUCGGACGUGCUAAACAGAAAAAGUGCUUUUGAGAUUGCUAAAAGUACCAAAAACUGAAACAGAAGUCCAAACAAAUAGGCCCAGAGUCUGCUGGAUUGUGAAUUUGAAUACGCACACGGCGAAAUCAAAAUACGAAGUCAUGGCCACUAUGUUUAAAAUAAAAUUCGUGUACUUGGACAAAACAGAAGUUGUUCGGUGAAUAAAAAAACCCUAGAAAUGAUUUUCCGACGUAAUAAACGGUAUAAUAGUACUACUAGUAGUACGAGGGCUGCUGCAGCGGAGAUUAAAAAAAAACGGUGUUCGUUUUAGGUGAGCCAGGGAGAGCAUCUCUCCACGCGAAGGGAGCACACAAUUUAUGCAUGUGCAGAGAGAGAGAGCACGGAGAAGAACAACCUUUGGGUUUGCCUAAUUGCAACGGCCAACUUGUGACUUUGUGUUGUGCGCGCUCGUCGUGGAAGGAUCUCAGGCGAAAAGGAAGGUGGGGGAAAGCUCGAUUAUUCUCCGCAGCUUCAAUCCCACGCUAAGCCGCCUGGUCGAAAAGGUUUGGCUGGCCAAACCGGUUUUGCAUGGUACUCCGUAACAUGUUUUUCAAGUUUUUUAGAACUUUGGAGGAACUCGAAACAAAUUGAGAGCAUACGCUUUCUAAGAGUUGAAAAGUAUUAUUUUCGAAGCACGGGCAGUCGGGCACGGGCAUCAGAGCAUCUCCGUUGCCAGUCGCUCGAAGCGAAGAGAAAUCACGCACUUCCUCUGCUACCGAAGCGAAGGCAGGAACAAGAACAACAGCGACGAGACACAGCCAGAAAUUCGGCAUAGUAUUUGCUCAGGGCUAGAUUCCACUGUAUUCGCUGUAAUCUGGUAAAGCAUGUCGCAUGUGCCCAGACUACAGGAGGAUUUCAAGACAAGUAUCCAGUCCUGUCUUAUUUACAACAGAUAGCGUGCAAAACUAUGCUCAAGAAUCAAGAUAGAUAAAUAACACUGGAUUUCCCCAGUACUUGCUACUUCACCGAACUACGGAGUACAACUGGUAAAGAAUAGUUUCACAAGUCGGAUCCUGAGAUCACAAUGAAAGAGAAGAUACAACAGGGAGUAUUAAAUCUGCACAUGAUCACAAGGAAAUCCAGAUGCACAUGAAUCCAGACAAUAGGAAGAACAGGGAACAGUUUGACAUAUUUUUUCUAAUAAAACAGAAGGUCAGAGUUGCAUGCCUACAUUGUCAACAAAAUAAUAGAUGAAUUGCACGAACAUACCUCAACGACUCAAUGUCAACAUGGAUUUACACUAACAAUUUUUAGUCUUUGACCUUUCAUACUCUUCAGAAUUAAUUAUUACCAGACUAAAAACUACAAUGCACCUAAGAACACGAGCUUUCGCUUCAGAAUAUCCCAAGGAUGGUGGGGGCAGGUGGAGCACGCCAUCAUUGGAGAGCAAGAGCAACGCCAUGUCAUUAACUGAUCAUCUUCAAAUGAUAAUCUGUAGAAGAGACAAUGGACAAGAGUCAAUUGAUCGCUUCACCAAACAGUAACAUUACAAAUUUGCUAUACAGGCUCCAAACAAACUGAUUUUCUAUCAGUCUACGCUUAAACAUAGCAGUUAACAGGGGCAAAGCUUAACACAGGCCCAUCAGCAAUCAUGCAGAGAACAAGGCAAGGCAGAUCAUCCAUGGGAAUCACACAACAAUCCACAAGGAAGCAUGCAUUACAUUCUUUGGAAAGCCAAUCAAGAGAAAUCUGGGUUCAGCGAUCGGAAAGAUUUACAAUGGAUAAGAUAUGUCAAAAUUUCAGUACUGGAAACUUCAGUUACAAAGCAAUUUGAUAAAUCUUACAUGCCAAGACAAGUAUAGAAGAUAUAUCUUUAUAUAAUAAUACUGACUCGUAAUUGUUAGGCUUACAGCAAAAAAAAGGUUAAGUUUCAUUAAACAAGCUUAUUUAUCGGUCUCUGAGGAGCUGGGUUACCUGUAGAUAAAUGGGACCAGAAACUAAGAGGUUACCUGUUGACUCAAGCUUAUGCUUAUUUUGGCGAUACACGUACUCUUAGGCUGGACAUAAUUCACCCUAACGAUUCUCACUAAGACAUGAGAAAGGAAUUCUAGUACGGAAAGGAAGUGAAAACCAGCGCAUGUGCAUCCAAGUGACUCCUAGUGAAACAGCACAGAGAGUGUCCCAGAUCGAUUUUAACUCUGAGUCACCAAGUGGUUCGUCGGUAUCAAUUUGAUCCUAACAGAUUCCAGGCAAUACCAUCAUAUGUCACCCAGUCAUGAUUUCCAGGAAAAGAAUAUAAGUAUUUUCAUCAUACAGACAGAAUUGAAGAAAAACUAUUAUUAGACCAUACAUUAUGGUCUUUCAUUUGUCAUGACAAAAAUGUACUCCCUCCGAUCCAUAAAAGGUGACGCCCAUUUUGUACUAAGUUAGCACAAAUUUUGUACUAGGUGGGCGACACAUUUUAUGGAUCGGAGGGAGUAAUAAGAAACACUAAAAGCUCAAGAUAGAAACUAUGAUUAGUUAGUUCAAUCUUUUAAUAACACCUAUGACAUAACAGAGCUGCACAAUUAUAAUUCUGUAAAUUUUAUCACACCCAAAAACCCAGAGAACCAAACGAUAAGAUACAUAAGUACUUAAAUCUACAAUCAUAACGAGAUGGUCAACAUAUCUCAUCAAUGCACAAAAUUAAAUAGAAAAACACACGACGAAAACAUCCACCAAACAUUAUCUACUGAAGACACAAAAUAUAAAUAGAAUCUCACAAAGCCUACACCAGGAUAGAUCUUAUAUGUGAAUAUCAAUGCUCAACAGGACCGAAAGCCUUAUUUAUGAAGGUUAUCGCACAUUUGGGCUAAGGCCAUUGUAACAUAAAAUAGUCCAAAAUGCACAACAUAUGGGGUGGUCGGACUUCGGCAACGAAACUUCAGACAUACUCGCUAGAUUUUCCGAAGCAACAGUAUCUAAACUUUUUUGUUGCUAAUCCUCCGCAGCAACUCGAGCCAAUUGUUUACCAAGAUCCUUAUCGAGAUUAGCUAGAUUAUUAAACCUUGACUGUAGAUAAACGGACAUGUAUGUAACAUAUUGCUCAGAACAAUCAAGUCGGGCUCACCCAAGCUUGUUUACACCCAUAUGAAGGAAAGGCUUAUUGAAUUGCAUUGUCAGGAAAUCAGCACUUCCCCAAACAAACUGAAAGUACCUUUAUUCCACAACCUAUAAACAUCAAUGGAUAUACUCAGAACACAACAGCUUACAUGUGUGGACCUUCCCACCAUUAAGGCCAAACAUAGUAACAAUAAGUUCCACUUAUUAAAAUGUCAUUGUAUACAAGAAUGUCAGAUUAAAUUAUGCCUCUACACAAGCAUACCAAUCCUGUCACUAUCACUGAAAGUCUGAAACAUUAACUAACAGCCAACAUCAUGCCACAUAACUUGUAAUUUUAGCACAUCAACAUUAGCAUUACAGAAACAAUAGUAGCCACAGAUCACAUAAACGAACAAAAACAAUCUACAGCAAUGUUCUAAACUGAAAUGCUAAAACAUACUUUACCUAAAACCCUCGUCCGCAUCAGAGGUAAUUGGAGUUGGAAAGGAAAGGCAGCGCAGCAACGGAUGAAAUCAGCUCCACUCCACCAGCACCAUUGGAUGCAGCCCCUCCGCUCUUCUUCGUGCGCUUCACCCUUGCGAGCUUCACGUGCGCAUCGACGAAGUUCUCCAUGCGCUUCACCUCCAGCUGCUUCAGGAAGUCAAUUCGCUCGCGUUCCAUCUCUAGCGAAUGCUUUUGUUUCGCACUCUCCACGCGCUCAUACAUCUCUGCAAAAGCCUCAAUUGCCCUCGCCAGCUCGCUGACACCACUAUCCCCAUCACCGCCAGCCUCGCGACGAAAGGGACGCUUGUUGCUACCGCCGGAGCGCGCCGACGAGACAGAACGCGACGGUGACCUCCGCAAGUUGUCAUGGUGGUUGUUGUUGUUGUUACCACCAGGAUGAUCACCAGAGUCCUCCGAAUCAGACACCGCUGCAGCGGCGGCAGCGGCUUCCUGCUGGAUGAACGCAGCGGCAGGGAGCAGCGCCCCGCGGCGGUAGCUGGGGAGGGGCAGAGCCAUGGGCGGGGGCGGGGACGGCGAGGAAGAAGGCGACGGGUACUUCCUCGCGGCGGUAGAAGAAGGAUGGACGGGCAGGGCGAGGUGCGGGGCCAUCGCCGGCGAGGGCCGCUUGUUGGCGGCGGAGUUGAGGGUGGGGCCGACGAGUCGGUCGAGCUCGUCGAAGAAGCUCCAGCCCGACGGCGCGCCGCGGACGCGCUCGGCCUUGUACUUCUUCUUGAGGGUGUCGACGCGGUUCUUGCACUGCACGUCGGUGCGCGGCGGGCGGCGGCGCGCGGCGGCCCCGCGGCGCGAGUUGACGGCGUUGGCCACCUCCUGCCACUGCUUCUGGCGCAGGUUGCCGCGGUUGAGCUCCACGUAGCGGCUGCCCCACGCGUCCACCAGCGCCGCCGUCUCGCCCUCGCUCCAGCAGUCCUCCCGGUAGGGCAGGUUAGGGUUGGGCGGCGGCAGCCUCCCAAACCCUCCCCCUCCUCCUCCUCCCCCUCCUCCCGCCGCCGCCGCAGCAGCAGCCGCAGCCAUCUCCCUCACCUCCAUCGGAACCAGAUCUCGCAGGAGCAAACCCUAACCCUAGCUAGCCCGCCCGCCGAGAGAAGAGGACCGAGCGAGCCUCGGGGAAGUCGCGCGUGACGGUGGGCUAUGUGAGCGGUGGGGGGUUCGGGGUUGGAAUAAAAGGACACGGCGAGGGAAGGGGGGAGGUGGGGUCGCCGGCCGCGAGGGGUCCGGGUUCCGUCCGUCACGCACGCGGCACGUGACGCGUGACCGGCGAGGGGGGGGCGGCAUCGGCAUGGCAUAUCUCGCUCGCUCUCGUGUGUCGUGGGUGACCGGAUUCGGAUCGGAGACGUGCCGCCGUUGGAUUGCGUUUGACCGGGUAACCGGCGAUUACUUUCGGGUUUCGGAGGGCGGGUGGGAUAAUGACAGCCAGCCAGGCACAGGCAAAGCAGAGCGCGGCGACAGGCGACAGCCGGAGACCGGACGGAAUACGGUGGCUGGCGCGGGGGUGGGAAAUUACCGCGUUGCCCCUACCCCGGGGAGCAGGCCGGGGCGGCACGCGGCAGGGGCAAGGCGGGGAUUUCGCGUGGGGCGGCGCGGUGUCAGGGGGUGAGCUGGUCGCCGUUGGUCGGUUUGCGUUUCGGGGCCGCCGAAAGAGGGGAGAGGAGAGAGAGAGAAACGCGCCGAGGAUGAUGGGGAAGGGAGAGGAGACUCGCGAACCGAAGACACCGCUGCUCCUCGCUCUGUACUCCAGUCUAGGCUUCUAGCUAGACUCGGCGCGGUGGAGUGGGUGGGUGAAGAGACUGAGGCGCGGGGCCCGCGUGCAAGCAGGCAGGGCGGGCAAUUAUUGUCGCCUCUGGUGCCGUCGCUCGGUACAGAGGACGGACGGACGGACGGCGUGGGCAAAAUUUAAUCGGCGUGCAGCAGGUGCCGGCUGCCGCCUGCAGGCGCCGGUCCUUCGGAUUGAUCGGUGGAUGGAUGCACUCGCCAAUGGCAAUUCAUCCAUCAAACAUCAUUCGUUACUGUAUAUUUUGUGGCAAAUCAAGAUUAGAGGUUCAUCAUCCGUUUACCGUUUUGGUUUGUCCCCUGGCGUCAUCAUCACCGUCUGGGCUUUGGAACUGACAAUAUGGUUCUUUCGGUGAAAUUCAGGUGAAAGUAAAACUCCACCGGUAGAUAGCAGCGGCCAUGGUGCCGUCGUGGGAACAGAGCAGUACGUACGUUACGGGCUCGCGUCAAAUCCUCGACGGAACCGUGCCCGCUGCACCGGUGGGUGAACAGAACACCAUAAAUCCCUCGCGGCCGUGGAGAGAAGUCAGGGGAACCGCGUGUACGUACGUGGUCCUCUCCUGCUAGCUAUAGCUAGGCUGCCCCGUGCGACCGGCGGCGAGGAAACGGCACGCUCGGGAGCCGUCAACAUUGAAUCGGAGGGCCGGGCGGCCGCGAUAGCGUAGCGACCAGCGAGAUACUCAGUCAGUACGGGCUACUUCGGGCUGUCACGCACGCACCGAGCCGGACGGCCGGGCCGACGCGUCGGGCUUGGGAACCACCGGCGCCGCAGGGGCGGGCUCGGACCGCGUCCAACGCCGCAGGCUUUGCAAAGCUUGCGUUGCGUGUACCCCACGCUACCACGCGGGUCCCCUCCACCAAUCAAUUCCAGGCCGGACGGACGGCCGGUACCGUGUACCGACGCGUCGCCCGCCGGAUCUCCGUGGCGUUUUCCUUUGCCUUUAGUUGUGUACCCGCCCCGCUUCACGCCGGCCUUGUGCGGCAGUUGUGUACACACACGCACGCACUUGUACUACUACUGGUGGCCUUGGACUUUGCUGGUUGCUGGUGCGCACCCAGCUUUUUGCGAACGGUUCCGGGAAACGCCGGCGGAAACUUGUGCGGCGGGUCGGUCGGUUGCCGGGGAAGGAAGGAUUCUUCACACAAGCAACGUGAGAUCUGACCAAGGGGAGCAGCAGCCAGCCAGCACGAGCAGCAGUUCGGCGCUGGAGCUACGCGCGAGCUGGGGCAGGAGCUACACGCCAUGUACGUUGCGUCCCCGGGCCGGUUUGAUUUACGACCGGAAGAGCCGCAGCGUUUCCGGCGCGAUGACCGGACAAAUUAGCCGGCUUGGCCGAUGGCUAUACUAUAUCGGAUUGGACAUAUGGAGUGAUAGUGCUCCCGACAGGUAGGAGACGGACGGACGAGAGCGAGUAAACUGCUGCCUGCGACUCUGCGAGUCCUGCCGUGCACGGCUCCAUGGACGGACCGCACGUCCAUGGCCUGUGUAGCUCCGACCGCACCGGACGCAGGCAAGCGGGACGUGCUGUUCAUCCUGCAGACGGGACUGACCCAAGUUAUUGGAGACGCGUCGGCAUUGAAGCCUUUUCCAUUCUCAGGAGCAUGACGUAAUCACGGGAUCACGCACGGCGUGGGCAAAAGAUUACCAGCCGCGCCGCGCGUGCCUGACUGCCUGUGCAGCUGUGCUAUUUUGAGUGCAGAAUACAGUUCUUCAGAACCGCGCCUGUUUUUUGAGGCUAACUGAACAUGCAGUUCCAUACAAUUUCAAAACUCUACGUAUAAUACGGAAGGGUAAAAGAUACUGAGGCGGUCGAGACCACUGUCGCGACACGCGAAGCCUGAAAUCGUAGCGGAUUUACUUUUUCUUUCUCUCGGGGCAACGUCCAGCAACAGCAAGUGACUGCUUGCCGGUUCAUCUGGCCGGACUGAAGGUGCAGAACUAUCUGCUUCCAUGACCAUGUCAUCUUACUGAACUGAUGUUGAUGUUGAUCGAACGGAAACUUGGUAUUAGUGCAAUUUGCAUUUGGUAGACGGGGGGUGGGAUGAAGAAGCUGCAGCGCAUUGGUCAGGGCAGCAGAUGGAAAACGCUGGAGACGGAGGUCAAAGAAGACGCGCGUAAAGGAACCGGUCAGAACAGUGACUUCCUUACUGGAUUUAGGUGACAGGCUGAAAAUUGUUUAUACUUUGGCACGUUGCCUGGGACACAGCAGUGGACAAGUUCGGUUCGGAGAAUUCUAUCCUCCAGUCAUGUUCCUUCUCGGUGAUUAACUAUCAGCUCAUCUGCCAAUCACAUGUUCUGUGGUGACAGCAGCCAGCAAAAAUAACCGAACGGAUUAGUGAUCGCCUAGAUUAUGUAGCUCAAUUUGCAUGCGUAGUUUCAAACGGUAUAAAACGAUGCCUUCGAAGAAAUGGGAGUAGUAAAAAACAUGUGGACUCGAUUUGGGCCGGGCCGCGAUAUCUUCGGUUCUCCACCCUCUUACGCGCAGCGUUUCUUCUCAGUGUCUGCUCAUCACUUGCGUUAGCUUGUAUUGUUUGCCUUCGCUUAAUAUUAGUGCCAUGUUAUCAUGGCUCCAUCGCCCAGUCGAACGCCGGCUAUCAGUUCAAAUUAUGGAUAGUCUAUUGGCUUUGAAUAAUGCGUGUCCUUGCUCUGAUUCCGUUGAGUGUCAUUCCAAGAGUAGGUAUCUAUCAGAAGAAUUUUCAGCAAAUGUCAGUGCUGCUUGAAGUCAACGAGUACUAAUCACAACAUGUGUGAACAUUUGCCAUCCUCCUGCGGUGCACUCUGACCUGCAUUGGAGAGCUGUAUUGCAGCCUGAAGGUCUUCUUCUCUAUUCUACUUCUACAUAUCUACCCACGUGUAUAUGCAGUAUCCUCCGAUGGUUUAGCCCAUGGGCAAUGCAGUUGUCUGCUUCAAUUCUUGGUGUUUCAGAACUAGUAGUACUACUAGAUAUGAUCAGUAUGCUGGGGACAGGACAGUAUGAAUGUACGAUAGAUAAGGUCCUAGAACAUGGGCCACAGGUUAUGCAGAUCGCAGACACGAGUGUUUGGCUGGAACUGAUCUCCGAAUGCGAGACUCCGAGAAACGUUGAUGCCGCUUUCUGUCGAUCACCUUGAGCCAUUGUCCGUCUGCUGGCCUGGCAGGGAAAGUCUACGGAAUGCCAUCUCGAAAGCCAUGGAAAUUCUGUUUUGCCUGACAGAACUCUGGCGUACAUGAGCAACAGCGACCGGAGCGUGGUUUGCCUGCGUGCUUGACUGUAUGGUCACGACGAACACGAGGUGGCGACCAUCCGCCGCGUUAUCCAGGACUGCACCCGUCAGAGAAGGAUCCUUCACUUUUUGGGAAUCCAAUCACUUCGGGAUCCAUCAGAGCAGAAGACACGGCCAUUUCGCCGGCGGCUUUCCCCAUACAGUGCACAUCUCGUGAACUUCCGUCCAUAUUUUCUGGCCAAAUUUGCAAAGGAUUUGUGCUUUUCAGAGUGCAGCAAACGUAGCAAUACCAGGAAACUACGGAGUAGAAUAGGAAGGAACGUACGCCUGUUUGUUCGGGCGGCAAAGUCAGAGCGACACUCUCUCUACUUUGUUUGUUCGUCAGGCCAGGACGCCCGCCAAACCCGACAUGGAUAACUCCAUUAUUGACGAUGGAAAGUAGAAAUCUGACCCCGGGGGCACUAGCAGACGACACUAUCCACAUUGUCUUCACACACCGAGAAUAUGACAAAAUAACAUGCAUUCUUAAUUCACCUAUCGUCCCCAGUACACACCAUCAGAAAACAUCUUCGAUCUUCUAAGGCGUGGAUGCAUUAGGGGUGCGUAUAAAAAUAAUCAUACUCCUUCCGAUACAUAAAAAGUUUCCCACAUUUAGUACAAAAUAUGUACUCCCUCCGUCGAACAAAGGAUGUUUCAACUUUGAUUAAAUUUGAAUGCAUCUAUACACUAAGUCAUGUCUAGAUACAUUUAAAUUUUGACAAACUUGAGACAUCUUUUGUUGGACGGAGGGAGUACUAAUUUUAGUACAAAAUGUGUGACACUUUUUAUGAAUGGGGGGAGUAUCUCCUAGACUCUUUUGAUUCAAAUGAGUUAAUCCUUCAGAAUUUUUUCUAUGUAGGCUUAUUUCAUUCGUAGGAUUAGAUUUUAGUGGAAAUUUGCCUAUGGUUCACUUUGCACUGCAGUGAUGCAAACCAGAUUCCGCGAAAACCCACUUCUAGUUCAUUUUUCAAAUCUUCAAUUCAAAUUUUGAGCAAAAAUUUGGAUAAAAGACUUGAGAAUUGAACUAAAAGUUGACCAUCAAUGGGAUCCCGUUUGCAUCUCUACUGCUCUCAAUUCCAAAGUAAAUUUUCCAUCUAAAUCUAAUCACUUGAAAAAAUUCCUUUGUUUCCAUGAUAACUAUACCAAUGCACGUAAUGUUUUUCUCUGUUUUUCCUCUAAUGCUAGAUUGAGUCUGUUUUUCCUUUAAUGUUUUUCCAACUCGAUUAGUUUAUUCAGGUGGUUUCUUCCUGUAGAAAACAACAUAUCAUGACAUUUCAAUCUUGUGUUUGCUAUUUCAGGGCUCAUUCACUCUACAUGCGUUUUAGAUGAUUUUUCUACAAGAUUUCAACUCUUACACCUUGUUUGGCACAUGUGGGUUUCUUACGUUUUCUAUUUCUACUCUACAAUCUUAAAAUCAUGUUCUCCUUCUGACCUUUGUUCUCAAAUUUAUCUAAAUACGGAUGUAUCUAUGUUUAAAAAAUGUCUAUAUAUAUUUAUAAUAUUUCAGUAACUAAUAUGAAUCGGAGCAACUAACUCGAACGAGCCCUCGGUGUUUGAAUAUUUAAAUACUCCUGAAUGCAAGUAUAGUUCUGCACUCCUACUGCAGCUUGCUACCACGAAACUAAACAUUUCUCUUUCUGCAGCCCCCGACUCGAUCUAGCCGCAGUCCAUGUCGUUCUUUUCGCCCUGGCGUGUGCAAGAGUCGAACCCAUAGUGUGAACAAUUGAGUUAGGCACGAGCCGGAGAGGAGGAGAAAGGACAAAUUAUUGCUCAGAUUAAUCAUCACCUCGAUCGUUGCGGCGCAAUACCGUUAUAUAACGACGGAAUACGGGCCCACACGUCAGUGUAAAGCGAGCUGCUUGCCGCUUUCUCCCUCUUGCGUGACGCCGUCGCCGUCCAGAGCCAUCUGGCCACCGGGCUCCCAGCCCCCCACAGAUGUGCCCCCUGCAUGCGCGCCAUGUAUCAGCCUCUGAUACGUCAGGCCAGGAACCAUCCUCAGCCGUCAGUUCGUCCAUCUCGACGGCUGCGAUCGCGCUGCCGCCACUUAUAAAUAGCACCGAUGCACGCGCGAGAAAGUCCGUUUUACCUUGCUGGGGGGGGGGGGUUUUACUUACAUGAGCGCGGGAAUGGAGGCGGAGCUGGAGGCGGCUCAGCGGCGCUUCCGGCUCUGGUUCCGCGGGCUGCGUUCCCUGCGGCGGGACCUCCGGUCGGCCCGCUGGGCCGGCGACGACCCGGCCCAGCUGGGGAAGCUGGCGGGCGGCUUCGUGGCCCACUUCUCCGACUACUGCGCCGCGCGGGCCGAGCUGGACCCGGUCCUGCUGCUGUCGGCGCCCUGGGCGAGCCCCGCGGAGCGUGGCGCCGCCUACUGGCUGGCCGGGUGGCGGCCGACCACGGUGGUCCACCUGCUGUACACCGAGUCCAGCCGCCGGUUCGAGGCGCAGCUCCCUGACCUGCUCCUGGGCGUGCGGUCGGGCAACCUGGGCGACCUCAGCCCGGCCCAGCUGGCCCAGAUCGACGAGCUCCAGCGCCGCGCCGUCGCCGAGGAAGACGCGCUCUCAAGGGAGAUGGCGCGGCUGCAGGAGGGCCACGGCGUCGUUGGCGGAGACGGGGAUCUGGACGUGGAGGGGAUCGUGAGGCGCGCCGGGGCCGUGGUGGCAGGGGCCGACGCGCUGCGGCUGCGCACCUUGAAGCGCGCCGUGGAGAUCCUCGAGCCGGCGCAGGCCGCCGAGCUGCUCGUCGCCAUGGCCGACAUGGAGAUCGGCUUCCGGGAGUUCGGGCUAAAGCACGGCGACGGCGGUGGCGAGCCGAGCCGCGGCGCGUAGGCAUAGGCGUGGCGCGGUCCAGAGAGCAGAUCCUCAUCCGCAUCGGCGGCUCGGCCCAGUUUUUUUCUUCCAAGUGUUUGCGCUGGUUUGACUGGGACAGAAAGACUGCUCACUGUUGUAAUCUUGUUGCCGUGACGAUUGUCUUUGCCGAACUGUCUCGCGGUGGGUGCUGCGUCGUAGCUGGACCGUGUGCGUGUGCGUGUGCGUGCGCGUGCGCCUGCUGGGAUGUCGUGUGAGAAAGCAAUAAAAUGCAAGGAAUGCAUGCUUGGUUUCGUUGAGAAGUCAUAUUUUGUUUUCGAGCAAGCGGUUUUUUUAACAUCUUUUCCGAUAAAUUGGCUGUUUGUCUGUUCACUACAGAAGACCCGUCCUUUUAAAAACGGUUUUGCUAUUAAUAAAUCCAUGUUUUAGUUAGAGUAGUCAUAGGAUUUUAAUCCAAUGAUAGCAAGUGAGAGAUGAGAGAACGAGGAUGACUCUCAGAUCUCCAGCAGUUAUGAAACGUCGACUGAUAUUUAAGGUUCAUUUUUUAAAAACUUGCGACUUAGAAAUAGCCAUACCCAUUUAAAAAACGUGUUAAAUCUUAUUAAAAUAAGAUUCUGAUCGAUAACUUAUUUUUAAUAGGUAUUGCUACGGAAAAGUUGUUUUUCUAGUUAAAGAUAAGUUGAAACACCAACUGUCAUAUCUUGAUCCAACGGCGGCACAUUGAAGAUGGGGUGUAGCUGCUAGCUUCGGCAUUGAAGAUGGCGUCAUGGUAGGGAGAAGCUAUCAAGUUAUCCGAGAUAGAGGAGGCACUGAUGGAACACAUCCGCUUGCUAGGCUUGUAAUCGGACAAAUAAUUCAAACAGCUUUGCUAUUCAUAAGACAAUUGAGAAAUAAUUAUUUUCAAGCCGACGCUAACAAUCGUUUAAUCCAAUCUCUGAUAUGUGUGAGAUCUAUACAAGUGUUGUUGACUGAAAAUAACUGCUUCCUCCGCGCCUGGAUACUCGUCGUGGUCCGGAAAUCCAACCAGUUGUUCGUUCGAGCCAGAUCCAAACGACACCGGACAGACAACCACGGGCGGUUCUACCGUGCCGCACGGUCACGCGCCCAAUUAACCGGCCACACGGCCAAGCGAAUCCAGGAUUAAAAAUAGGAAUCGCGUACAAUUACCGGCCACCCAGCCAGGCAGCCCGCAACGAUAAACCAGCAGUCUCCCGCUCCAUGUUUGGGAGCCAUGCCCAACUACAAACCCAACGUUUCCAAGCUGGCCGCCGCGCCCCGCGACAUCCACACGGCAGAUUAACCCUUCUUCUCCUUUCCUUCCUUCCUCCCUCUCCGCGCGCGCGCGACCUCCCGCAGACCCGCCUCCGCGAAUCUAGCCACCCCCGCGCGUGCGCCACGCACCGUCCGUCCGUCGGACCUCGGCCGGGCCGGCCCGCGGUCGUCGGCGCGCGGAGGGCGUUCGUGAGAAUGCGUGCGGCGGCGAUUGGUUGCUAGCUAGCUAGCGGCAUGCCUGGCAUGAGCGCGUGAUGGCGCCGCCGUUCCUGAAGACCGGGCACGGCCGCGACAGGUUCUCCUUCAGGCGGCGGAAAUCGUCCUCCUCCUCGUCCUCCUCGUCGACGCCGUCUUCUCCGCUCUCGGUGUCGUCCACAGCGUCGGAGGACAUCGCCGACCCGGGCAGCCCCAUGGAGUCGUCAGCGACGACGGGCAAGACGCUGCCCUGCGCCCGGCGGGCGCUCUCGCGGAGCAGCUGCGGGUCCAGGGGCAAGCUGUCCGUCGACCUGAUCCCGCCGCCGCUCGCCGGCGGCCCGUCCGACGCGCCCAGGUCCUCCACCUCCGCCGCGCCGCCCCCCAAGCCUCCCCCCCGCAACGAGGGCCCGCCUUCAGGUCUCACCAUUGUUAAUUUUCUAGUGUCUGUCUGACUUUCUGUCGUCAAAUGCAGAGAAAUGCCUUGUUAUGUUUUCGUGAUCGAUUGCAUGUAUCCAGAUGCUGACAUCGUGAGGGACAAGUUCUCCAAGCUGCUGCUGGGGGAGGACAUGUCCGGCACCGGCAAAGGGGUGUCCUCUGCCCUCGCUCUCUCCAACGCCAUCACCAAUCUUGCAGGUAAUCUCUCCCUUACCUUCCAUUUCCGAUCUUUCCAUUUCCAAUAACAGUCCCUGUCUUUCAAAUCUUCCCAUUCUGUCCGUUGGGUUCUGAUGGAUACUGACACGAUCAGCUAUGAUUUCUUUCUCAUGACGUGGCACAUUGCAGCUUCCGUGUUCGGUGAGCAGCGGCGUCUCCAGCCGAUGGCCGCAGAGCCGAAGGCCCGAUGGACAAAAGAAAUUGACUGGCUUCUGUCCGUUGCCGACCACAUCGUCGAAUUCGUUCCUUCACGUCAGGUGUCCGAGGAUGGCUCCACCAUGGAGGUCAGAAACAAGAGGAUCCUUGCUUAUCACAAGUACCUGGAUGUAGUUCUGUAUCACGGAACAUCUUUAUGCAAAUCCAAUUACAGCGGUGCUAUUUUUCUCUCUCUCCCCCCAAACAGAUAAUGAUGACUCAGCAGCGUAAGGAUCUGCAGAUGAACAUCCCCGCACUGCGCAAGCUCGACGGGAUGCUCCUUGUAAAGCUCUGCCACAUUCUUCUUUGAAAUCAUUUACGAGAAUGACAUGCGUGGAGAUACCUGAUGAAUUGCUAAUAUGCUAUGGCUGCACAUUUCCUGUUGUGGGGGCACAGAGCUAUCUUGACAGCUUCAGGGACAAGCAGGAGUUUUGGUACGUGUCGAAAGACGCAGAUGACUCGGAGAAGGGAGACGCGCCGAAGCAGGAUGACAAGUGGUGGCUCCCGACUGUCAGGGUCCCUCCUAAUGGUCUGUCGGACUCGUCGAGGAGGUGGCUUCUACACCAGAGGGAGCUCGUCGGCCAAGUCCAUAAGGCAACAAUGGCCAUCAAUGCUAAUGUUCUUAUGGAGAUGGAUGUUCCAGAAGCCUAUAUGGAGUCUCUGCCUAAGGUGACCCAUAUGAACACAGCAACAUUGCAUAACAUUUUUCUUUACUUCGGUUCACUGCAUUUAGAGGGAUCGAGACUCACUUUGACAGCAUCUUCUUUUUUUAUGCUUGAUAGAAUGGAAAGUCUAGCCUUGGAGACUCAAUGUACAAGCUUAUAACUGACGAAUAUUUUGACCCAGAAGAACUCAUAGCAUCAGUAGACUUGUCAGCCGAGUACAGCAUCGUUGAUCUGAAGAACCGAAUCGAAGCCUCGAUUGUCAUUUGGCAGAAGAAAAUGACGCAGAAGGAUGCCAAGAUGUGGGGGCAUGGUGUCAGUCAUGAGAAGCGGGGACGGUUUGAGGGGAGGGCGGAGAAUGUUCUUCUCCUCCUUAAGCACAGAUUCCCCGGAAUUUCUCAGUCAGCUCUGGACAUAAGCAAAAUCCAGUACAACAGGGUACUGGCAACCAUCUUCAAUUUUCCACUGUAUUUUCGGAUUUCCUACAGUACUUUAUUACUCAUGCUCAUUGCAUACAUUUUCUCGUUGUGAUUUUUUUGCAGGAUGUUGGCAGUGCCAUUUUGGAGAGCUACUCCAGGACUCUUGAGAGUCUAGCAUACACGGUUAUGUCUCGCAUCGAAGACGUUCUUCGCGCCGACUCCCUUGCUCAAGACCCCAAGAACGCGGAGGCGACGAGAAUGCCGAGCUUAUCAUCAGAUGACACAGACACGGUCGUCCAAGAUGCCAAGGACGAGGUGGAGAGGCUGGGAAGAAUGGAGCCUCUGAACUCGACACUAUUCGACUACGUGGGCCCACGGGACGGAGAUAUCGGGCCCAUGAUGUCGGAUUCACAGGAACCUCGGGGUGCAAAGCUGUCAAAGGUUUCGUCGAUCGCAACCAAGAGGUUCUCCUACCUAGAUAAGCUUGAGAAUUUGGGUGGAACAAGGAGCCCCAUAUCUAGACACUAGUCGCUGCCGUAGGGGAAAAGACGAUCAAUAUGGUGUUGAUGUUGCUGCAGAGACUCCGGGGAAAACUGCACGUAAAUAGCUCCGCAAAAACUGAGGGUGCAGCAUGCAUUGUGAGGUUUAUGUAAGCUUUCAAGCUUUCAGGCACCAAUACCUCCAAUUUGGUGCAGUUGCCAAGACAAUGUGAUGACGAUUCUCCUGCUAAAUUUACAUGAAAUAACCACAAGAUUCUGACACUGGACCUGAAAAUGGACCUCCAGAUUUUCUUACUGUACUUCUGUAGCAAAGUUUUGUGGUUCCAGUAAAGUGUUUGUUAUCUUAGACUUGACUUGCAGACCAUGCUUGGGUUCGGCUAGUGUUCUCCCCACGUACAAUUUAAGAGGGUAAUAACAUAUCACUGAACUUGGAGAUCGAUCUGUGUUAGCUUCUGGCGUUCUAGAUCGGCACUGUAAUAAGUAACUGUAACUGUACCAUGGCUCUAUGCAUUGGGAAAUUAAAACCACUCGUAUGAGUAAAUCAAUUUACAGGAACAAAUGAGCAGUAAAAAGCAUCCUUCCGGUUGCUGAUAGUACGUGCAGCUAGGCACGCCAUAUGAGUACAUACAACGAAGGACUUAACGUCCAGAUACGCAGAUCCAUGGUACACAAGCACAGGCAUAUGCAGGAACAGAUUCAGAGAGAGAGAGAGAGAGAAAGAAACUGAAACCAAAGCUUUAAUCAAAUCAGAUCAGAUCUUGCCGCGUGGGCCGGGGGUGGGGGGAAGCUGCGGCCCCUUCUUGAUGGGCAGCAGGUCCGGCGACGUGGUGGCGCCGAGGUAGGCGAUCAGGGACCCGCCGCCGAGGAGCAGGAACUUGAGCAGCAGGCCGCGCUUGGUGAAUGGCGCCGCGAAGGUCUGGAAGAACUUGCUCUGCAGCCCGUUGUAAGGGGACGGCGCGUCGGACCCGUACAGGUCCCACUGCCCCGUCGUGUUGCCGAUGUCGUCCAGGUCGAAGUACACGCUCUUCUCCCCGUACUUCGCCUGCACCGCGACGCCUCGUGCAGGCCUGCAGGCGUACGCGCACGCGUAUAUAUACGGUUAUUUAUACGUAUGUACAUACGCUCGAUCGAUGACAUAUUAGCUCGCUUCACGUGCGUACCUG